Molecule: long non-coding RNA, 5086 nt
Organism: Alligator mississippiensis (American alligator)
Lineage: Eukaryota; Metazoa; Chordata; Crocodylia; Alligatoridae
Exons: 4
Source: RefSeq, a predicted model, not a curated record
UGAAUAGAAAUAUGCAUUUUUAGCAUGGAGCAUAAUUACCAUUGCACCAAUUUUUACCAAGGGAUGUGGUAUCUAUAGCUAGAUAUGGCCAAAUGUGAAGAUUAAUAUAGCUUCAGGUUAAAGUGAGCUAGUAAACUUGAAGCCAGAAUUAAUUCAGGAAAAUCAUGUGUGUUGUGUUAUACCAUAGUAAAUAAUCACAAUGGUCCCUGUAGUCUUUAAAUCUAGACUACAAAGUGAAGUUUCUGCUUCCCCACCUGGAAGUAGAAACAUGACAGUUAAUACAUAUUGCUCCUUGUUCAAGCACAUCUCUACUAACAGAAGAUAUUUUUUGUGCUUGUCCAAAUACUUUCUUCACCAUACUACUGACUUUCAUACCACAAUUCCUUCAUCUUUCUGCCAAGGUUUCCAGGACAGUCUUGCAGACCACAGAGACUGAAAUAUUUUGGAUGCAGGUCAAGCAAACAUCCUGAGAUUUAUGUUAUCUGUAUCAAAACAAACUUCUGAACCUUUGGAGGAUCUUCUAUGUCAAAAGGCAAUGUAACAUUGCGAGUGUAACGAUCUGUCUGCAGCCCCUUGUAGACAAUGGGAAGUCUGGAAGAGCAAGGCUAUUUCCAACACAAAAUAUAUUCUGAAAACAAGUUCAUUAUUGCUGAUCAUGCUUAACUGAUGAUUUGUGUGAUUUCCAUCCCUCUCCCCACACCCCUCCCCCUGCGCCUUCCAUGGGUAUCCUUGUAUAGCAUUUUUUACCUUUUCCUUAUAUAUGAAUAUCAUUAUAUUUGGAAAUAUCUGAAUCAUCAUUCUUCAUGGCAUGCAUGAAUAUGCAGGUUUGGACAGACUUUUCCCUCUUUGCCACAGUGUUGCACAAAUGGAGGAAUUAUGGAUUGCAAUUCCUGCGACCAAGGUGGGAUAAUUUGCUCUUCAUCUGUUCUCUCACAUGCUAAUUAUUUCUAUUGGCAGGACAAUACUAAAAUGGCCAAUGGUCUAGUCUGAUAUGGCAGAUCCAUCAGUACAUCCCUGGUGUGGCAACUGAGUAGUAUAAUGAUUUUGGCUUUGCAGGUGUUACCUUUUGCAGUAUUGGGAUCUCAAAAAGCAAAAUUGUCUGUCUGUCUUGAUAUAUUGGUAGGUAGAGUGAUGGCUUGCAACCCCUAGGUAUUUACACCUGUGGACUUGACAGUGUGGGUGUUGACUAAACAUAUUUAUUAGGCAAGUCAAAUCCAAGUAAAGCUAAAUAUUCUGUUUUUUAAGAGAGACUGUUGUAGGUAAAAGGAAACUUUUCAGUGGUCUGUGGCAGUAAAAGAUCAGUAAAAUGAUGAAUGUGCAUUUGUAUUUAUCCAAAUAAAUAGGAGCUUACAGACACUUUUAGAGAGUUAAAUAGUUCAGAUACUCAAAUGAAUGGAUAAGCAAAUAAGUAUUAACCAGAUCAGUCGGUACCUUUUCCUAAAGAUUUUAAUACCUUGUAAUUUAGGUAAGUCUUUUGCAACCAGCGUCUUUCAGGGUCAUGGAGAUUCCAAGGAUCAACGCUAUAGAGAAGAAGACCUGGGAUGAACGGAGAAAUGCAGACAGGAUCUUGAGGCUGUGUGAUUGGUCAUGAGAACAAUAAAGAAGAGCUGUCACCCUUGAAUUUCCAAAGUAGGCACCCCAGCUGUAGAGGCCUAUACCGAUCAGUAACCACUCCCAUUGCAGUCACACCAUUCAACUUAAAAGGAAGCAAAUUUGGGGCCCUAGUGGGAAAGCUGUGACUGUGCUUGCAGUUUUAUAAUGGCUGAAAUACCCUGUCUUGCCUGCCCUGCCUACUUUGCCUGCCUUACCAGAAAGAUUUCACCUCUGGUCUUGAAGGUGAAUGCAGGAAGGAAGCAUUCCAUGUUGCAGUGCAGGCUGGCUUUUAUUUUGAAGGGUGUUUUAAAAAAAAGAAUGUAACUUAUGUGGAGAGUGUUGUGUUUAAAAAAAAAAAAAAGUUCAAAAAAUACCACGCAUGAUUGAUCUCAAGUCUGCUUGCCGAUCCAAAGACAACACAGCACAGCAGUCAAAUAUACAUUUUAUGGGCUUUUGUCUGUUUUGCAAUAACACUGGAAAGCAUUCUUUAAUUAAAAUUUAAAACCGUAACUGAUUAAUUUUCUGUGUAAACAAUCCCUGUAAACAUGGAAUGUCAGCAUUUUAAGGGCACACUGGUAUAAAUUUUGCUUCCUCUCUCAGAUGCUCUGGGGGAAGAUGGCAAGAAAAGAUGAGAAAAAAAUAAAGUCCAGGAAAAGAACUGGAAGAGGGGAAAAGUUCAAGGCCCUGGUGUUCUGUACUGCAAGCACACCAGCUGCAGGAUCUCGCCUCCUGCCCAUUUCUCUAUGGAAGAAUGCUGGCAUAAGCUCUCUGCUCUUGCUCUGGCCUUCUGAAAAGUCUGCUUUACAGCUGAACACCACUGCAACCAAAACCCAGCCUUACAGCUGAAGCAUUCUCCAGGCAUAACUGUCGGAAUCUCUAAUGGUGAGCGUGGAGCCAGGGAAGAGGAAUGUAGACCCCACCUGGACGGCGUUAGAGAGACGGUACGGAUUUCCCAAGCUCCCUCAAACUCCGACACGAGCAGCAGAGGGAGCAGCAUCAGGAGCCAGGGGGGCUGGACUAUGUGACACCCAGAACUGGGCAGAAGAGAAAAAUCAUGUUUUCACUCGCUGGCCAGCAAGCAAGCAGAAGGGUUGUGAUACCUGUAAAGGGGUACAGUAGUGCACAUGCUAACUCAGUGAGUUGUGAGGCUCCAAAUAUUUUCCCUGGGGUGGGUUUGUGUGGUGACUCACAGCAAAUGAGUUAAUACACAACAAUGGCAAAUGGUUAUUUAAGCAUCUUUGCCCAAUCUUGACAUGAAAAUAUCUCUGCAGUCAUCAUCUGCAUAUGCACAUGUACAACAUGUGCACACACAUAUAGCAACACGUACACGCUCUAUUAAGAAUUGGCCUCUUGAACCAUGGCCAUAUAAUACAUGUGAGUUCGGGCUGCUGCCCCACACACUUCAGCUGUGAUCUAGUUAUUUCCUUCUAAGAUUUGGUUCAUCUUUCAACUCUGCCAGAUCCAUAAUGGCAGAAAAUUCAAGAGGUUUGGAGUUCAUGGUCCUUUUGGAUGUGCUUCCAAAAGCUUGGAUACUUACUCCACAAUCAAGAACUCAUCGAAGACUGUAGACUCUCAUCUCAUAUACUGUAUAAUGCAAAAACAGGUAUAUGGGUCAAUAAUUGACUUAGAUAUUGUAGACUAAAUAUAUACCACACACAUGAUAUACUGCAGGGGUUUGGGGGGAACUGCACCCCAAAUUUGAGCUGGAAACUGAUUUUACGUGCCUUAUACAUUAUGAAUGGAGGUUAGGGAGGGAAGCUGAGGCACAAGCUAGGGGGAAUAAUUUGCUCAAAUCACAUAAUAACUUAAUGGAUGACUGAGGAGGAAUCUGGGGGUCUCCAGUCUCCUACUCCAGUGCUCUAACCACUCAACAUGGUGCUACAAGUCCAGUGGUCUAAUCACUGAGGAGGCAGGGAUGUAUCUUGUACAUAACAUUCAAAAUAAUUAUUUACAAAGGAAAAUAAAUCUUGGGAGCAUUCCAGGAGACUUAGUCUGCAAUUUCUGAUAUGUCUCUUUUGUAUGGAUGCUUUCCUUUUACUCUCUUCACAUUUGCAAUAUCCUGUUUUUUUUUUUUAUUUUGGGAAACUUUUCCUUUUGUUACAAUAAACCUGAUCACGCCCCUGCGUACUGCUGAAUUUUCACCCCAUGAGAUUCUCAUGUGGGCAGAAGAAGCCAGAGUGAGACUGGGGGAGGCAAUGGCCAUGGAAAGAUUUAGGCUAACUACAUGGCAUAACUGAAUGAAUUUGAGAUAAAAUUUGUUUAAUGAUUUAAUGCAUUCCAAAGAAGAAACUCAACAGAGGAAAAUCCAUAUCCAUGAGUCUUUUUAGCUGUGAAGGAUUCAUAUUGUCUUCUGGAAGUAUUAGAGUCAUAAGUAUUAGAGACUAUAAUGCACUGUGGUUUGCCUGUUAGACAUUUGUCUUAACUCUGUCUUAUCAUCAGUGUUCAAAUGAAUAUAAUCAUUUGUAUAACAUCAGAAGUGCUUUAGGUUAAAAAUAUAAUAGUAAAGGACAAAUGCAUUUAUAAUUCAGGGAUGUAGGCGUCAAUGGAGAUUAAAGAGGAGAAAGUAAGAAUCAGUCUCCACCAACUGUGCUAAAGAAGUCACUUCAGUAGAUGGGAGCAGUAAUAGGCUUUUAUCUCUUAUGCGGGCCAUUCACUAGAGGGGCAUGGCUCACUUAGCCAGCCUGUUCCCCCGCACUAAGUAAGUGUGUGUAAUGCCUCUGAAAUGAGUAGUAUGGUAAGAAAUUACAGCAAGGAUGAAUUUGGCUUCAUGAGGAUAGCCUUCCAGUCCCCUGCAAGGCACAACACUGCACUUCUCCUGUUCCAUCCUUGUUUUUAAAUACCCGCUCUUGACUAGUAGAGGGUUAUUGACCUAGUUUACAUAGGAUAUAAAUCAGUCUGGGUAAGAAGAUUGUCUUAGAAGCAAUUCCCCCCCCCCCCCCCAUGUUAUCAAAGUUCAUGGAUGCUCCAAUGAGUAAACAAGUAAAGGUUAUUUCAACAGGAUAUUAGGAAAGGAAAUAUUCAGGAAAGGAACAUAUUCUUUUUACACGCUGGCUGUUUAUCCAGUGGAACUCCCUGCCACAAUACGCUAGUGAAUAAGAGUCAAGGAAAGUUAGAUACUCGGGUUCGAGGAACAUCUACUACUGGAAUACUUUGCACAGAAACAAAUGCUAAAAGUGAAACAAGCAGCAAAACCUAACCAUUAAUUGACAGGUUUUGUGAAAGAGGUUUCCCUUGUGGGCAUGUUGUUUCAUAAUUGGUCACUAAAGGAUUUCCUGUUCCUUCCUUUAAAACAUCCAGUACCCACCACUGUCAGACACAGGAUACAGGACUCCAAGGACAAUAGUGAUCCUUAGUAUGCCAAGAAUACAAGCAAUAAUAAUUAAAAUUAUCUCAUGUUGUGCUGUUUUGUUUUUUUUUCUUCUAAAUGCUUGGCUUGAUGCAGCAACAAUUCCAGCAUUUUCUGGCUCUCAAUUCCAACCUUUUCUCUUUGCUU